AUGCGUUAUCUGCAAUAUAUUCUAAAGAUCGUGCAACUGGAAAAGAUGCACAGACAGCAGAUGAUGUUGUUGAAGAAAUACAAGCUGAAGAACAGAAUGAUAUAAGAG
This is a long non-coding RNA of Ipomoea nil (Japanese morning glory), 108 nucleotides long. RefSeq lists it as uncharacterized. The transcript is spliced from 3 exons. Lineage: Eukaryota; Viridiplantae; Streptophyta; Magnoliopsida; Solanales; Convolvulaceae. The record is from RefSeq and is a predicted model, not a curated record.